AAGCUAAAUAUUGGCGAGAGACCGAUAGCGAACAAGUACCGUGAGGGAAAGAUGAAAAGNACUUUGGAAAGAGAGUUAAACAGUACGUGAAAUUGCUGAAAGGGAAACGCUUGAAGUCAGUCGCGUUGGCCGGGGAUCAACCUUGCUUUUGCUGGGCGUACUUUCCGGUUGACGGGUCAGCAUCAAUUUUGACCAUUGGAUAAAGUCUAGAGGAAUGUAGCAUCUUCGGAUGUGUUAUAGCCUUUGGUCGCAUACAAUGGUUGGGAUUGAGGAACUCAGCACGCCGCAAGGCCGGGUACUUGUACCACGUUCGUGCUUAGGAUGCUGGCAUAAUGGCUUUAAUCGACCCGUCUUGAAACACGGACCAAGGAGUCUAACAUGCCUGCGAGUGUUUGGGUGGCAAACUCGGACGCGUAAUGAAAGUGAAAGUUGAGAUCCCUGUCGUGGGGAGCAUCGACGCCCGGACCAGACCUUUUGUGACGGAUCCGCGGUAGAGCAUGUAUGUUGGGACCCGAAAGAUGGUGAACUAUGCCUGAAUAGGGUGAAGCCAGAGGAAACUCUGGUGGAGGCUCGUAGCGAUUCUGACGUGCAANUCGAUCGUCAAAUU
RNAcentral lists this ribosomal RNA (607 nucleotides) under Hebeloma angustilamellatum. RNAcentral's name for it is "partial 25S ribosomal RNA". It matches the Rfam family "Eukaryotic large subunit ribosomal RNA", at positions 313 to 911 of the family's 3401-position model. Lineage: Eukaryota; Fungi; Basidiomycota; Agaricomycetes; Agaricales; Hymenogastraceae. The record is from RNAcentral.